CUCCGCAAAGCUCCGGGCGCUGCGCAAAUCGACUCGGUUUCAAUCACCGCUCAAUAAAGUACCGAGAGGCUGAAGCGAGAUCUUGAUGAAGAGGCAGAGCAGGAGAUGAGACCACAGGGAGGCGUGGACCGUAAGGGUUGUGACCAGCUCACAUUGGGGCAAUAGACCUUUCUACCUAUCUGCACAGGUCACCUUCCAUGCAGUCCACCAUGGUGAACUGCCAUGUUUCUACAGUAGUCCAGAAGGGACGAAAGAACAAACUCGCUCCAGAUAGGGGUGAUUCAGCCACCAUAGUGACUUCUUUCUGCUCUAGAAGGGAGGGUGAAACAAGGAAGGACACUGGAACUACACUGCUAGAUGCCACUAAAUCUAGAGGUCUAAUCAGCUGGGGUAAUUGAAAACACCUGUAUCGGUAUGCAGGGCAAUUUAAAAUAUGCUCCUAAAGACCAAAUCAAUCUAUAGCCCCUGAGAUGUUUGUUACAUUAUUUAUGUCAAAAGGUUUGCUUUAUAGUUUCCCAACAAGUGUGGCUUAAAUAUAUAGUAAAUAAUAUAACAUUAAUACAAACAAUGUGCUUUACAGUAUUUUUCUACAUGAAACAUUUGAGCUGCUUUGGUUUUAGGGUCCUGGUAUUGUGCAUGCUGCUUCACUGUCACACUGACAAUGUUACUGUCAUUAGUAACACCUGUGAUUUUCCUAUAAUGACCAAAAGUCAGAAUGUCUACUGUGAAAAAGGUAUAUAUUGCUGUAAUAUUUGUGCAGUAUUCCAGGGGUUCAAAAAAAUCAGGAGUGCAAUAUUUUAAUUGAGAAAUACUUUUAUUUUAAUUUCAGUAGUCCAAUAAAUAUUAAAUCCCA
This is a long non-coding RNA of Morone saxatilis (striped sea-bass), 853 nucleotides long. RefSeq lists it as uncharacterized. The transcript has 3 exons. NCBI's taxonomy places the organism in Eukaryota, Metazoa, Chordata, Actinopteri, Moronidae. The record is from RefSeq and is a predicted model, not a curated record.